This 644-nucleotide ribosomal RNA is filed under the name uncultured bacterium. Its description in RNAcentral is "bacterial SSU rRNA". It matches the Rfam family "Bacterial small subunit ribosomal RNA", at positions 231 to 885 of the family's 1533-position model. The record is from RNAcentral.
UCGCGGCCUAUCAGCUUGUUGGUGAGGUAAAGGCUCACCAAGGCGACGACGGGUAGCCGGCCUGAGAGGGUGACCGGCCACACUGGGACUGAGACACGGCCCAGACUCCUACGGGAGGCAGCAGUGGGGAAUAUUGCACAAUGGGCGCAAGCCUGAUGCAGCAACGCCGCGUGUGGGACGACGGCCUUCGGGUUGUAAACCUCUUUUAGUAGGGAAGAAGCGAAAGUGACGGUACCUGCAGAAAAAGCACCGGCUAACUACGUGCCAGCAGCCGCGGUAAUACGUAGGGUGCAAGCGUUGUCCGGAAUUAUUGGGCGUAAAGAGCUCGUAGGCGGUUUGUCGCGUCUGCUGUGAAAUCCCGAGGCUCAACCUCGGGCCUGCAGUGGGUACGGGCAAACUAGAGUGUGGUAGGGGAGAUUGGAACUCCUGGUGUAGCGGUGGAAUGCGCAGAUAUCAGGAAGAACACCGAUGGCGAAGGCAGAUCUCUGGGCCAUUACUGACGCUGAGGAGCGAAAGCGUGGGGAGCGAACAGGAUUAGAUACCCUGGUAGUCCACGCCGUAAACGUUGGGAACUAGAUGUAGGGUCCAUUCCACGGAUUCUGUGUCGCAGCUAACGCAUUAAGUUCCCCGCCUGGGGAGUACGG